RNAcentral lists this ribosomal RNA (253 nucleotides) under uncultured bacterium. RNAcentral describes it as "partial 16S ribosomal RNA". It matches the Rfam family "Bacterial small subunit ribosomal RNA", at positions 524 to 776 of the family's 1533-position model. The record is from RNAcentral.
UACGUAGGGUGCAAGCGUUAAUCGGAAUUACUGGGCGUAAAGCGUGCGCAGGCGGUUAUGUAAGACAGAUGUGAAAUGCCCGGGCUUAACCUGGGAACUGCAUUUGUGACUGCAUGGCUAGAGUUUGGCAGAGGGGGGUAGAAUUCCACGUGUAGCAGUGAAAUGCGUAGAUAUGUGGAGGAACACCGAUGGCGAAGGCAGCCCCCUGGGUCGAGACUGACGCUCAUGCACGAAAGCGUGGGUAGCAAACAGG